AAGAUCGUACUUCAGUGGAUCAUUGCUGCAGUAGAUCUUGCUUCAACACCUGCCGCAAGGUAGAAUGAAUACAACCACGAUGACGAGGUGUAGCAUCUUUUCCUGAGCGUGAGGAAGGCUUGAGAAAUUGACUUUGUUUCGAAUUCUCAGUCAUCGAUGAUCGUUCACUUCUCAUACUUAGUAUGAGAAGGAUGGGAAGGAUGCUUUCUGAGUGGC
Small nucleolar RNA from Bombus terrestris (buff-tailed bumblebee), 216 nucleotides. RefSeq annotates it as small nucleolar RNA U3. Lineage: Eukaryota; Metazoa; Arthropoda; Insecta; Hymenoptera; Apidae. The transcript has a single exon. The record is from RefSeq and is a predicted model, not a curated record.